CCUACGGUCUCUGCAGUGGGGAAUAUUGGACAAUGGGCGAAAGCCUGAUCCAGCCAUGCCGCGUGUGUGAAGAAGGCCUUCGGGUUGUAAAGCACUUUCAGUGGGGAAGAAAGCCUUGGGGCUAAUACCCUCGAGGAAGGACAUCACCCACAGAAGAAGCACCGGCUAACUCCGUGCCAGCAGCCGCGGUAAUACGGAGGGUGCGAGCGUUAAUCGGAAUUACUGGGCGUAAAGCGCGCGUAGGCGGUCUGAUAAGCCGGUUGUGAAAGCCCCGGGCUCAACCUGGGAACGGCAUCCGGAACUGUCAGGCUAGAGUGCAGGAGAGGAAGGUAGAAUUCCCGGUGUAGCGGUGAAAUGCGUAGAGAUCGGGAGGAAUACCGGUGGCGAAGGCGGCCUUCUGGACUGACACUGACGCUGAGGUGCGAAAGCGUGGGUAGCAAACAGGAUUAGAUACCCUUGUAGUC
This 464-nucleotide ribosomal RNA is filed under the name Vreelandella stevensii. RNAcentral's name for it is "partial 16S ribosomal RNA". It matches the Rfam family "Bacterial small subunit ribosomal RNA", at positions 338 to 795 of the family's 1533-position model. The record is from RNAcentral. Lineage: Bacteria; Pseudomonadati; Pseudomonadota; Gammaproteobacteria; Oceanospirillales; Halomonadaceae.